Molecule: transfer RNA, 71 nt
Filed under: Loxodonta africana (African savanna elephant)
Lineage: Eukaryota; Metazoa; Chordata; Mammalia; Proboscidea; Elephantidae
Rfam family: tRNA
About the family: Transfer RNA (tRNA) molecules are approximately 80 nucleotides in length. Their secondary structure includes four short double-helical elements and three loops (D, anti-codon, and T loops).
Source: Rfam by way of RNAcentral
GAAGUGGUGGUUCAGUGGUAGAAUUCUCAUCUUCCAUGCGAGAGAUCUGGGUUGGAUUCCCAGCCAAAGCA